AAACCUUAUCAUUUCAUUAUAUAAAAGGAUAGUGGACAUCAAAAGGUUCAUAUUGAACCAAAAAAAGAGAGAAGAAGCAAUAUGGCUUCCUCUGUCAUUUCUUCAGCAGCUGUUGCCACACGCAGCAAUGUUACACAAGCUAGCAUGGUUGCACCUUUCACUGGUCUCAAAUCUUCAGCCACUUUCCCUGUUACAAAGAAGCAAAACCUUGACAUCACUUCCAUUGCUAGCAAUGGUGGAAGAGUUAGCUGCAUGCAGGUGUGGCCACCAAUUAACAUGAAGAAGUACGAGACACUCUCAUACCUUCCUGAUUUGUCUGACGAGCAAUUGCUUAGUGAAAUUGAGUACCUUUUGAAAAAUGGAUGGGUUCCUUGCUUGGAAUUUGAGACUGAGCACGGAUUUGUCUACCGUGAGAACAACAAGUCACCAGGAUACUAUGAUGGAAGGUACUGGACCAUGUGGAAGUUGCCUAUGUUUGGGUGCACUGAUGCAACCCAAGUGUUGGCUGAGGUUCAAGAGGCUAAAAAGGCAUACCCACAAGCAUGGGUCAGAAUCAUUGGAUUCGACAAUGUGCGUCAAGUGCAGUGUAUCAGUUUCAUUGCCUACAAGCCAGAAGGCUACUAAGUUUCAUAUUAGGAACAAAAUUGUCUUUAGGGACACUUUGUUUUUAAAUGCUACUUAGGUCUUUUUUCUUUUUUGUCUUAAUUCCAACAAACUCUUUGUGUCUUGUACUAUUCGGUUUAUGUUUUGGAUUUAUGAGUACCUAAUUAUAUGAUAAUGAUUU
This 784-nucleotide unclassified non-coding RNA is filed under the name Hevea brasiliensis (rubber tree). The record is from RNAcentral. Lineage: Eukaryota; Viridiplantae; Streptophyta; Magnoliopsida; Malpighiales; Euphorbiaceae.